Molecule: ribosomal RNA, 229 nt
Filed under: uncultured bacterium
Lineage: Bacteria
Description: partial 16S ribosomal RNA
Rfam family: Bacterial small subunit ribosomal RNA
Source: RNAcentral
UGCGUAGGCGGGCUAAUAAGUCAGUGGUGAAAUCUCUCGGCUCAACCGGGAAACUGCCAUUGAUACUGUUAGUCUUGAGUUCGGUUGAGGUAGGCGGAAUGUGUAAUGUAGCGGUGAAAUGCUUAGAUAUUACACAGAACACUAAUUGCGUAGGCAGCUUACUAGACCGACACUGACGCUGAGGCACGAAAGCGUGGGGAGCGAACAGGAUUAGAUACCCUGGUAGUCC